This 76-nucleotide transfer RNA is filed under the name Candidatus Dormiibacterota bacterium. RNAcentral's name for it is "tRNA-Arg". It matches the Rfam family "tRNA". Rfam says of the family: Transfer RNA (tRNA) molecules are approximately 80 nucleotides in length. Their secondary structure includes four short double-helical elements and three loops (D, anti-codon, and T loops). Lineage: Bacteria; Bacillati; Candidatus Dormiibacterota. The record is from RNAcentral.
GCCCCAGUAGCUCAGCGGACAGAGCGGCUGCCUUCUAAGCAGCGGGUCGGGAGUUCGAAUCUCUCCUGGGGCGCCA